GUGCACGCUGGCGGUAGGCCUAACACAUGCAAGUCGAACGGCAGCACAGUAAGAGCUUGCUCUUACGGGUGGCGAGUGGCGGACGGGUGAGGAAUACAUCGGAAUCUACUUUUUCGUGGGGGAUAACGUAGGGAAACUUACGCUAAUACCGCAUACGACCUACGGGCGAAAGCAGGGGAUCUUCGGACCUUGCGCGAUUGAAUGAGCCGAUGUCGGAUUAGCUAGUUGGCGGGGUAAAGGCCCACCAAGGCGACGAUCCGUAGCUGGUCUGAGAGGAUGAUCAGCCACACUGGAACUGAGACACGGUCCAGACUCCUACGGGAGGCAGCAGUGGGGAAUAUUGGACAAUGGGCGCAAGCCUGAUCCAGCCAUACCGCGUGGGUGAAGAAGGCCUUCGGGUUGUAAAGCCCUUUUGUUGGGAAAGAAAAGCAGCAGGUUAAUACCCCGCUGUUCUGACGGUACCCAAAGAAUAAGCACCGGCUAACUUCGUG
RNAcentral lists this ribosomal RNA (491 nucleotides) under uncultured bacterium. RNAcentral's name for it is "partial 16S ribosomal RNA". It matches the Rfam family "Bacterial small subunit ribosomal RNA", at positions 29 to 507 of the family's 1533-position model. The record is from RNAcentral.